This 67-nucleotide transfer RNA is filed under the name Euproctis similis. RNAcentral describes it as "tRNA-Ala". The record is from RNAcentral. Lineage: Eukaryota; Metazoa; Arthropoda; Insecta; Lepidoptera; Erebidae.
GAGGUUAUAUUUUAAAAUAAAAAAAUUAACUAGCAAUUAAAAAAUAAUGAAUUUUCAUUUAUCCUCA